This is an RNA transcript of Tachysurus fulvidraco (yellow catfish), 3844 nucleotides long. RefSeq lists it as uncharacterized. The transcript has 7 exons. The record is from RefSeq and is a predicted model, not a curated record. Lineage: Eukaryota; Metazoa; Chordata; Actinopteri; Siluriformes; Bagridae.
GGUGUCACACAUAAUAAACCUUCUGUUUGUGUAGCCUACGCAAACCAACACAGCUGAUUAACGUUAGUUAGUGAUUCAAACACAAGAGAAAGCGAAAGCAUGAAUUCUGCAGGACUUCCCCUGCUUAUUUUUUCCCUGAGUUAAAAACAAACUUUGUCAGUUUUCACCAACUUCAGCAGGAGUGUGUGUCUGAGUUGAUUACUGAGUAAAGGUGCUGUGAAAAAGGAUUGAAGUCAUGAGCCAUUCCACGAGAAAGCCAAAGUGUCCAGCUUGUCAUCAGGAAGUCGUCAAGAAAUCGGAUGGGCAGUGUGUUGUGUGCCGUUCGUGUUCUGCAGCAAAACGUCGCGUCUUUCUCUUCUGCUGGGAUUGCCAGAGAGAGUGGCCGAAGACAACUUCAGUAAACAGCGCUUGCAAUCGGCCAAACUGUGCUCUCCGGGCUGCUCUGCUCUCUGACUAUCUGAUCAGUGAUCCCAACAGUUCAGCAAAGGGAUGCCCCUAUUUCAGGGCCUGUCCAAAAUGCAAUGCCCUGCUCACACACAACGGAAUAGGCUGUCCCAAAAUUAAUUGCCCUAAGUGCUUCACAGCAUUUUGCUUUCGUUGCCUUCGACCAAGGUGCAUUCGCACAGACUUCUAUUUUGUUGAUUUUGAGUUGAUUAGACACCGGUUCAACGAUGUUCAAGAAUGUACUAUAGUGGAUAACAGUCAGAGUCUUAUGGCAUGUCGUUAGUAGAAUCAGUCUGUAGGAGACAAAAUGUCUACCACACAUAAGUAAAAGUUCACAAAUGAUCUAACAGACACAUAUAAGCUUUACAUACAAGUUGUUACAACUCUGCAGGUGGGUCAGACUUCUGGUUGGGAACCUUUAAAACACAGCUUAGGUCAUAGUGUGCUUCUACUUUAUUCUCAAAAUUAUUUCAUUGUCUUUCUUUGUGCAAACAAAAAAUGUUUGGAAUAAUUCUGUAAAAUGAAUGUAAACAUAAUCUGUGCAUUAAAGAGAAUUUAUAGUUUGAAAGUGAGGUCUUGUGUUUAUCAUGUUUCAUAUAUCAAGUCUCUUUUCAGAAAGUAGAAGAACAAUUGAUGCUAAUUAUAGCAUUUCUACCUUAAUAAACCUUCUGUUUGUGUAGCCUACGCAAACCAUCACAGUUGGUUAACGUUAGUCAGUGGUGCAAACACAAGAGAAAGCGAAAGCAUGAAUUCUGCAGGAAUUCCCCUGCUUAUUUUUCCCUGACUUAACAACAAACUUUGUCAGUUUUGACCAACUUCAGCAGGAGUGUGUGUCUGAGUUGAUUACUGAGUAAAGGUGCUGCCAAAAAGGAUUGAAGUCAUGAGCCAUUCCACGACAAAGCCAAAGUGUCCAGAUUGUCAUCAGGAAGUGGUCAAGAAAUCGGAUGGGCAGUGUGUUGUGUGCCGAUCGUGUUCUGCAGCAAAACGUCGUGUCUUUAACUUCUGCUGGGAUUGCCAGAGAGAGUGGCCGAAGACAACCUCAACAAACAGCGCCUGCAAACAGCCAAACUGUGCACUCCGGGCUGCUCUGCUCUCUGACAAUCUGAUCAGUGAUCCCAAAAGUUCAGCAAAGGGAUGUCCCUUUUUCAGGGCCUGUCCAAAUUGCAAUGCCCUGCUCACACACAACGGACUAGGUUGUCCCAAAAUUAAGUGCCCUAAGUGCUUCAAAACAUUCUGCUUUCGUUGUCUUCGCCCAAGGUGCUUUCGCACAGACUACGAGUUGCUUAGACUGAUCAAUCGCACAGACUCUGAGUUGCUUAGACUGAGCAUUCGCACACAUUUUGAGUUGCUUAGACAGCAGGUCAACGAUAUUCAAGAAUGUACUAUAGUGGAUAACAGUCAGAGUCUAAUGGCACUUCGUUAGUAGUAGAAUCAGUCUGUAGGAGACAAAAUGUCUACCACACAUAAGUAAAAGUUCACAAUUGAUCUACAGACACAUAUAAGCUUUACAUUUAAGUUGUUAGAACUCUGCAGGUGGGUCAGACUUCUGGAUGAAGGUUGGGAACCUUUUAAACACAGCUUAGGUCAUAGUGUGCUUCUACUUUAUUCUCAAAAUAAUUUCACUGUCUUUCUUUGUGCAAACAAAAAAUGUUUGGAAUAAUUCUGUAAAAUGAAUGUAAAUGUAAUCUAUACAUAAAAGAGAAUUUAAACUUUACAGUUUGAAAGUGAGGUCUUGUUUUUAUCAUGUUUCAUAUAUCAAGUCUUUUUUCAGAAAGCAGAAGAGCGAUUGAUGCUAAUUAUAGCAUUUCUACAACAGCAUUAUUAUUAUUUUAUUGUAUUAUCAUUUCUGUAUAUUAAUGAGGUUUAUUAUACCAAUUACAAUUUUUUUUUGCAAAAUAUAUGUUAAUAUGUUGGAAACAAUUUAGACAAAAAAGGUGAAAAAAAAAGGCUGUCAUAUAUACAGUACUUAAUUUUUUAUAAGCAGUCAAAACAGACAAGGUCAACUUGACUCGGCGCUCCUAAGCAGGAAAAGACAACAGGAGGUGUGCAGGAGGGUUAAUCAUUUCAUUUUACAUUCUCAUAUACAAACAUACUAGGGGUUUGAAUGUAUAUUAUGAAACAAAAAGCACAUCUAGGUAAAACUGACUUUAUUCUAAAAAAAAUACAAUAAACGUAAUAAACCUUCUGUUUGUGUAGCCUACGCAAACCACCACAGCUGAUUAACGUUAGUCAGUGGUGCAAACACAAGAGAAAGCGAAAGCAUGAAUUCUGCAGGAAUUCCCCUGCUUAUUUUUUCCUGAGUUAAAAACAAACUUUGUCAGUUUUAACUAACUUCAGCAGAAGUGUGUGACAUUAAAUGUAAAUGUAAAACAAGCUUUGCCAGUUUUCACCAACUUCAGCAGGAGUGUGUGUCUGAGUUGAUUACUGAGUAAAGUAGGUGCUGUGAAAAAGGAUUGAAGUCAUGAGCCAUUCCACGACAAAGUCAAAGUGUCCAGAUUGUCAUCAGGAAGUCAUCAAGAAAUCACAUGGGCAGUGUGUUGUGUGCCAGUUGUGUUCUAAAGUGAAACGUCGCGUCUUUCGAUUCUGCUGUGAUUGCCAGAGAGAGUGGCUGAAGACAACUCCACCAGACAGCGCCUGUAAUCAGCCAAACUGUGCUCUCCGGGCUGCUCUGCUCUCUGACAAUCGGAUCAGUGAUCCCAACAGUUCAACAUAUGGAUGUCCCUAUUUCAGGGCCUGUCCAAAAUGCAAUGCUCUCCUCACACAUGACGGAGAAGGCUGCCCCGAAAUCGAGUGCCCUAAGUGUUCCACAGAAUUCUGCUUUUGUUGUCUUCGCCCAACGUGCAGUCCCUUGAAUGUAGACUUUGAUUUAAUUGACUGUGAGUCGAUUAGACAGGAGUUCCACGAUGAUGACGAAUGUACUAUAGUUGAUAACAGUCAGAGUCUAAUGGCACUUCGUUAGUAGAAUCAGUCUGUAGGAGACAAAAUCAAAAUGUCUACCACACAUGAGUAAAAUUCCACAAGGUUUGGGAACCUUUAAAACACAGCCUAGGUCAUACUGUGCUUCUAUUUAAUCUCAAAAUGAUUUCACAGUCUUUCUUUGUGCAAACAGAAAAUGUUUGGAAUAAUUCGGUAAAAUAAAUGUAAACGUAAUCUAUGCAUUAAAGAGAAUUUACAGUUUGAAAGUGAGGUCUUGUUUUUAUCAUGCUUCAUACUGUAUAUCAAGUCUCUCUUCAGAAAGCAGAAGAGCGAUUGAUGCUAAUUAUAGCAUUUCUACAAUGGCAUUAUUAUUAUUUUAUUCACUAGACUAUUUGUUUUGUUUUGGGGUUUUUUUUGUAGAAUUUGGAAAUUAGAAAAAACUGUGAAAUGCAUUUGCAUAUUUCCUUCAAUUGAAUUUGUUUGU